GAAAUGCGAUACGUAAUGCGAAUUGCAGGACCUCGUGAAUCAUCAAAAUUUUGAACGCACAUUGCGCUUUUGGGUAAUGCCCAAGAGCAUGCUUAUCUGAGUGUCCCUAAACCCCACUCAGCCGCUGCCGCAUGUAAAAGUGCUGGUGGCGAGCUGGACUGUGACGGUGCGUGGCUCUGCCAUGCUCCGUUCAAAUCCAUCAGUUUGUUGUUAUGCCUGGGCAGUUUCGGCUGCGGGUCUGACGCAAGCGCGACAAAAGAUUCGGUAGAUGCACUGAUGUGUGUUUCUUAUCUCGAGUUGUGUGAGCGAAAGCCAACCAAGUGUUUCGGUGAAUUGGGUCCUCCGGUUAAUCACCUGACGGUACUCAAAAUGAAUGUAACUCAUCUAUGGAUCUCAGAUUAAGUAAGACUACCCGCUGAAUUUAAGCAUAUAAUUAAGCGGAGGAAAAGAAACUAACAAGGAUUCCCCU
This 469-nucleotide ribosomal RNA is filed under the name Thalassiosira rotula. Its description in RNAcentral is "eukaryotic LSU rRNA". The stretch from base 1 to 106 matches the Rfam family "5.8S ribosomal RNA", at positions 50 to 154 of the family's 154-position model. The record is from RNAcentral. Lineage: Eukaryota; Bacillariophyta; Thalassiosirophyceae; Thalassiosirales; Thalassiosiraceae.